UCCUUUCUGCUAUUGGCUGCUGACCAAAUCCUGACUUCAAAAGAGAAAAACGUAAUUUAAUAGCGAUUACACAUCUAAUAACAUUAGCGUAAGUGAACAGAGAAGGUGCAAGGUGCAAGGCCCAAUGUGAAAGUUGUGAGGCGAUCGAUUGUGUUCCGUGACUGCUACCGGGUCCUUGAAUAGGCCUAAUGUACAACGUUCGCGUUAGGGCACCCGGUGGAGUUUCUGGUUACCUCUCGGGAGCUGGUGCCCUACGCAGACUGCAUACUUUGCGUAUAGGAAGCGGUGGUACUGCUCAUAAUACAUCAGGACCGCUGUAGCCAAGUAAGGUAAAUUUCCUUCAGUGUACACUCACGAGACGAAGACGAGGCUGAAUCCAGCUUCUAAUUCAGUAAUAACUUAUAUACUGAAAACUUUUUGGAAAGAUAUAUUUUCAAUGUUUGUCAGCUGAAGGAUCAAAACCAAUGGAAACAACAGUAAAACCCACGAAAUACAUUGACGCCUUGGCCCAUCUGAAGGCAGUGUGCGUAGUAGAACAUGGCUAUGCUGAUACCCUUCCUGAUAUACUCCUCCAGACAGUCUGUGUGUCGCGCUAAAGCACUGAUGUCCUUGUAUUUGCACACUCUGCAGACAGAACAGAGCAGCAUCUGGAUCCCUCUGCACUCCAUGGCCAUACAGAUACAUCACACCCAGAGCACCCUGAGACUCCAGACUACCAUUUCCACAGGCAUCGGAGUGCCAAAGGAAUGCCUGAGGACCACAAACACACAUUCAGUGACAGUUUUACUGAAGAAGAAGGCUUUUGAAAAGAAUUGUCCACAAACAAGCCCCACUUCUCAUGACUCUCAUGUCAGAAUCGACUAGAUAAUAGCCACUUUCACAAAUGAAGCCUGCUAAAUUGCAGUAAAAUUGUGAACAAAUCAGAACUUCUGAACAAAUAUUUUAAGUGAAUGAAUCAAUUUGUUUUACCUCAUUUCUUGUUUUUCUGACAUCUCUCCCUUUCGAAGCCAAUGAGCUCUAGUUUGAAGCAUGAGACUUUUUGGUGGCUUUUUAUGCCUGUAAAGACUGAUUAUAGCACUAGCCAAUUGCAUUCAUUGGUUUAACUAGUACACACUUUGAGAUGAUAGAUUGAACCAGUCUGUCAUCUUGUUCAUGAACGAACUGAAUAUACUAGUACACUUGUUCACGAAUGACGAACAUGAUGAAUCAGUCAUCAUGAUAAAUGGUCUGCAAUUAUAUAGCACUUUUUUAACCUUAACGGUUUUCAAAGUGCUACACUGUGACUCAUUCACACACACACACACACACACACACACACACACACACACACACCAAUGACGGCAGAGCUGACUUGCAAGGAGCUAGCCUGCCAUUGGAAGCAACUUGGGGUUCAGUGUCUUGCCCUAGGACACUUUGGCAUGUGGAGUCAUGUGGGCCAGGAAUCGAACCGCCAACCCUGCGAUUAGUGGACAACCCGCUCUACCACCUGAGCCACAGCCGCCCCAUAAGCUCUCAUGAACGACGAUCUGCUGACCGGGCUGGACUAAUUAUAAAUAUAAGUGAGUGAUGACUACACAUUACACUGACAAAUGGACGUUAUUGAAACUGCAGAGCUAAAGUGCUUUGUGGAAUCGUAGAGAUAAUUAGACUUGUUCCGAUUGUGAAUGACUGCUUUUUGUUCAAUGCAAUAACUUAAAGAUGGUAAUUUGCAGCCACAUACAGGCGCAAAGAUGUAACUUGCAGAAUUGGUCAAUGAAUGAAUCAAUGCACAAAUCUGAACAAAUAUUUUUGGUGAAUGGAUUCCAAAGACUCGUGUCACUGAAAUGAAUCAAAAUCAUCACCACUAAUUAAAAUAUUGAAGCCCUAACCCCAAUUUGUACAAUAACUUUGUGUUGGCUUUGUCAUGUCACCAUCAUGAGACACUAAACAAGUGCAAUGAAGAGAAA
Molecule: long non-coding RNA, 1946 nt
Organism: Xyrauchen texanus (razorback sucker)
Lineage: Eukaryota; Metazoa; Chordata; Actinopteri; Cypriniformes; Catostomidae
Exons: 3
Source: RefSeq, a predicted model, not a curated record